RNAcentral lists this long non-coding RNA (609 nucleotides) under Populus trichocarpa (black cottonwood). Its description in RNAcentral is "long non-coding RNA (PTRI_LNC000692)". Lineage: Eukaryota; Viridiplantae; Streptophyta; Magnoliopsida; Malpighiales; Salicaceae. The record is from RNAcentral.
AGCACAAAACAGUAUUCUCUAGGGUGAACCAAACCAAACCAUACCAAAACCGAACCAAGUGGAUUUUAUGGUUUUUAAAUCAGUUUAGACGGUUUUUCCCUCUCAGGUUGGUGUUGUCAGAUAAUUCUUUUUCAGUUUACUUUGUUGAUCGGUUUUUUUAAACACCUCUAUAAAAAAUAGAUGCUCAAUGUUGUUAUCGUGUUUUAAAUAAGCAAGAAAAAUUCAUAACUCGAGUCAAAGACUAGACUGAGUUCAAUAAGAUUGUUUUUUUUAAUUAUAUAAUAUAAAAAAAUUAGGUAAUGCAAUAAAUCAAUCCAAUGAAACAAAAAAAUUGACAAUGAUAACCUAAAAAAUCCCCUUGUUCAUAUUAUAAAAAAAAGAUAUUUUGUAAAUAUAUAUAAAAAUAUCUCUAUAAUCUUACUUGAUAAAAAAAAAACUUUAAUAAAAUAAUAUUAAAAAUAUAUUUUUAGACGUUAUUCUUAGAAUAAAAAAAAAAGGCCAACUAACAAAAUGUCAAAGGGCAAAAUAAAAAAAAAACAUAAAAAUGACCUAAAUCAACACAAGUUAAACCAUAAACAUACAACCCAAGCAAUGAGAACAAGGUAACCC